RNAcentral lists this ribosomal RNA (3303 nucleotides) under Triticum aestivum (bread wheat). RNAcentral's name for it is "partial small subunit ribosomal RNA". The record is from RNAcentral. Lineage: Eukaryota; Viridiplantae; Streptophyta; Magnoliopsida; Poales; Poaceae.
AUGGCCAUGGCAUUUCGCCUCAUUAUACUCGCGCUAGUACCGCUGCUGGCCACCGUGCUCGCUGCUCCUUCCCUUCCUAGCAGCAAUGACACUGACCUCGACGCGCUGCUUGCGUUCAAGGGGCAGCUGUCCGACCCACUUGGCGUCCUCCGCAACAGCUGGACCACCAAUGCGUCGUUCUGCCGCUGGGUCGGCGUGUCAUGCGGCCGGCGCCAACGCCAUCGCGUCACCGCCCUGGAGUUGCCAGGCGUGCCCCUCCAUGGUCAGCUCGCCCCUCACCUUGGAAACCUCUCCUUCCUCUCUGUUCUCAACCUCACCAACUCCAACCUCGUCGGCUCCAUCCCCGCCGACCUCGGCCGGCUGCGUCGCCUUAGGCGGCUCAAUCUUGCACACAACAGCUUGUCUCAGUCCAUUCCAUCUACCUUUGGGAACCUUACAGGUCUCCAAGUUCUUGAUGUGGGCGGCAACAUGCUGUCUGGUCAAAUCCCAAUGGAGAUGCAAGGAUUGCGCAACCUUGCCUACAUAGCUCUGCAUGCCAACUACUUGAGUGGUCCGAUACCUGCUCAUCUGUUCAACAACACACCUCUGCUAAGCUAUGUCUCCUUUGGGAACAACAGUCUGUCUGGGUCGAUACCUGACAGCGUCGGCUCCUUGCCCAUGCUUGAUUUCCUUGGCCUGCAGCGAAACCAGCUCUCUGGACCAGUUCCCUCGGCCAUUUUCAAUAUGUCUAGACUUAGGAUGCUGUAUAUGGCCAGUAACAAUCUGACUGGCCCUGUUCCUGGCAGCAAUGGCAGCCUUAGUCUCCCCAUGUUGCAAGUAAUAUCCCUCUCUCAGAACUACUUCACAGGUCCGAUUCCUUCAGGCCUUGCUUCGUGCAAGAACAUCAGGAUCAUCUCUCUGUCUCAGAAUUUCUUUACGGGUCCUGUGCCGGCAUGGCUGGGUGAGCUGCCGUUCCUUACCGGCCUUUUAGCUGGGGGGAACGAACUUGUUGGACAAAUCCCUCGUGUUCUUGGGAAUCUUACCAUGCUCACCAGGCUUGACCUCUCAUUCUGCAAGCUGAAUGGAGAGAUCCCAAUUGAAUUGAGCAAGUUGACACAGCUCAAUAUUUUGGAGCUUUCAUCUAAUGGACUCACAGGUUCUUUUCCUGCUUUUCUUGGCAACUUGACAUCAUUAACCGCAAUAGGGUUGGCCCUCAAUCUACUGACCGGGUCAGUACCAGCAACACUUGGGAAUAUGAGAUCACUACAACUCCUCGAUCUUGGAUCAAACCGCUUCCAAGGGGAGCUUGGCUUCUUGGAUGGUCUCUCGAAUUGCAGGGAGCUCCGUCUCAUAAAUUUGCAGGUGAAUGAUUUCAGUGGAGGCCUUCCUGACUAUACUGGAAACCUCUCCAAGAAGCUUGUGAUUUUUGAUGCAACUGGCAACAAGUUGACAGGAGGAAUUCCAUCGACAAUAUCAAAUCUAAGUGGUGUCAGCUCGUUGAUCCUUAUGAACAACCAACUAAGCCAGUCGAUCCCAGAAUCCAUCACGACUAUGGAGAACCUUGAGAGGAUUGACAUCUCAGGGAAUAGCUUUGUUGGUCCCAUCCCGGCGCGAAUUGGUAUGCUCAAGAGACUGGUACAAUUAUUUCUCUACAACAACAAAUUCUCUGGUUCUAUACCAGAUGGCCUUGGUAAUCUCACUUUGUUGGAAUACAUUUCCUUGUCUUAUAACAAUCUGUCCUCACAUGUGCCAGCAAGCUUGUUUCUUCUUAAUAACCUUGUUGAACUGAAUCUGUCCCAUAACUCGCUGACUGGUGCAUUACCUUUUGAUCUCGGCCACAUGAAGCAGAUUAACAAAGUAGAUCUCUCCAACAACAACUUGGUUGGCAGCCUUCCAGAUUCCUUUGGACAGCUCCGGAUGCUAACUUACCUAAGCCUGUCUCACAACUCAUUUCAAAAUUCUAUUCCAUACAGUUUUCGCAAUUUAAUUAGCUUAGGAACACUGGACCUAUCUUCCAACAACUUCUCGGGUACCAUCCCAAAGUACUUGUCAAACUUAACCUACCUGACAAGCCUGAACCUGUCCUUCAAUGAGUUACAAGGUUCAAUACCAGAUGAAGGUGUUUUCAGAAACAUCACCUUGCAAUCUCUGAUAGGAAACUUUGGUCUGUGCGGUGCUCCCCGUUUAGGGUUUUUGCCAUGCCUGGAUACCUCUCACUCUGAUAAUAAUGGACAUUUACUAAAAAUCCUACUACCUUCUUUUGCUUUAACAUUGGCGGCUAUAGCUAUUUGCUUAUACCUGCUGAUAAGAAGGAACAGUCUGAAGCAGGGAGAGGUAACACCUGCUGCUGAUGGAGUUGAUCCAAUCAGCCAUAGGCUAGUGUCCUACCAUGAGGUUGCUCGUGCCACUGAAAAUUUCAAUGAGGACAACCUACUUGGAGUUGGAAGUUUCGGAAAAGUUUUCAAGGGCCAACUGGACGAUGGUUUGGUGGUGGCGAUAAAAGUGCUCAACAUGCAAUUCGAGCAGGCCGUGAGGAGCUUUGAUGCUGAAUGUCAAGUGUUGCGGAUGGCCCGGCAUCGCAACUUGAUACGGAUAUUGAAUACCUGUUCCAACCUGGAUUUUAGAGCACUGCUGCUUCAGUACAUGCCCAAUGGUAGCUUGGAGACGCACUUGCACACUGAAAAUAGUGAACCACUAGGAUUCAUCAAGAGACUGGACAUUAUGCUUGGCGUGUCGGAGGCAAUGGAGUACCUGCACCAUCAUCACUGUCAGGUUGUCCUACACCGCGACCUGAAGCCUAGCAAUGUGCUGUUUGAUGAGGACAUGACGGCGCAUGUUGCCGACUUUGGCAUUGCGAAGUUAGUAGGCGAUGACACCUCCAUGGUCUCAGCGAGUAUGGCAGGGACGAUUGGGUACAUGGCCCCAGAGCUUGCGUACAUGGGGAAGGCGUCACGGAAGAGCGACGUGUUCAGCUUUGGGAUCAUGCUGCUCGAAGUCUUCACCGGCAAGAGGCCCACAAACCCCAUGUUCCUUGGAGAAUCCAGCCUCAGGCAGUGGGUUUCGCGAGCAUUCCCAGCAAGGCUCGUCGAUGUUGUUGACGAGAAGCUGCUGCAAGGUGAAGAGAUGAAUACUACUACAUCGGCAUUGGCUUCCACUGCCUGCAAGGGCGACUUUCUUGUGUCGACAUUCGAGCUGGGUCUGGACUGUUCGGCCGACUCUAACGAGCAGAGGCCGAGCAUGAGCGAUGUGGUCGCUAGGCUGAGGAACAUCAAGAAGGAUUGCUCUGCUUCCGUGGCAGCGAAGAAAGGGUCUCAGCAGCAUUGA